AACUAUUGGAAGCAGCUGGCGGAACAGGAUCUGGGGAAGGAGUUUGGAGCCCUGGGUUAGCUGGUUGGUAGCUCUGAGCCCACGGUGUGGUGUGAAGCUAUGGAUCAGGAGCGGAGGCGGGGAGCUGCACUGCUAAGGCUGUUACACGUGCUGUGGCUGCUGCCCUACUCCCGGACCGCCCCUGAAGGUCCUACUCCAGCGUGGCGGGAUGAACUGCAAAACCACACAUUCCAGCACACAAUGUACUGCCAGAACUGGAGUCCCAGCAUCGGCCUCUCGGAAGCCUAUGACGGGGACCAGCUCUUCUCCUUCGACUUUUCGCAGAACACCCGAGUGCCUCGCCUGCCUGAAUUUGCUGACUGGGCUCAGAAGCCAGGAGAUACUUCCACCAUUUUCUUUGACAAAACGUUCUGCCAGUCUAUGAUCCAGGAAAUAGGACCACACCUCGAAGGGCAAAUCCCUGUGUCUAGAGCCCCCUCAUUUAAUGCCUUCUGGGUCUCUCUGCACCACCUAUGGUCUGCACUGUUUUCGCUGUGGGACAAAGCCAUGUGCCUAGGACAUAGGUUUCCUAUUGUUGACGUGUUCACGCUGAAGCCCCUGGAGUUUGGCAAGCCCAACACGCUGGUCUGUUUUGUGAGUAAUCUCUUCCCACCCACGUUGACGGUGAACUGGCGGCAUCACAUGGACCCUGUGGAAGGAAUCGGGCCCACUUUUGUGUCCGCGGUUGAUGAACUCAGCUUCCAGGCCUUUUCUUACUUAAACUUCACACCAGCACCCUCUGAUGUUUUCUCCUGCAUCGUGACUCAUGAGAUUGACAGCCACACAGUAGUUGCCUAUUGGGUGCCUCAUAAUGCGCUGCCUUCUGAUCUUCUGGAGAAUGUGCUGUGUGGUGUGGCCUUUGGCCUGGGUGUGCUGGGCAUCAUUGUUGGCUUAGUCCUCAUCAUCUACUUCCAGAAGCCUUGCUCAGUGUAUUCAAGCUCCUGAAGCGAAUUGAGAACAGCCUGGAAGGGCCCACAAUUCACGUGUUCCUCCAAGUGACUUCUUGUUGGGCUGGAGUGGAUUAUCCAAGGAGAACCUGCGGUGGUGUGCCCUGAGCAGAAGCGAGGGUAUGGGUCACCUGAUUACUGCUGCCAAUCCAGACUCCUGGUAGACCUCCAACAGCACCUGAUAACAUUGCCAAGCUUGUGGCGUUAUGUGCCAGGACUGCGAUGGCAACUGCCUUCCUCUUCUGAACACAACUUCAGCCCAGUAGUCAGGGCUCACCUCUAACACUCCUCCCUGGAGAGGACUCCCUGUCCACCGUGCCCUCAAUGAUUUUUUUCUCUUUGAAGUACACUGGCAUUACUGCUUACUUGCCAUAAAAUAAACUCUUCUCUUUACAGAUGUCUGUUCUCACUCCCCAACUGAUCUAAAAGCGAGUGUCAUGGGAACAGAAUCCCUGUCUCCUCCCUGGGUAUUCCCUGUAAUGCUCUGCACAGAAACGCUGUGGUUAGUCCACCUGUGGCGUGUGAUGCACAGCCUGGAGGAAGAAGCGUGUGAAAGGAGAGGACUGGCUUUCCUGGCUUGGGCAGUGCCAGGAAAAGAGGGACAGCUUGUGGGAAUGAGGCUGCGGAUCCCUCACUCCUGCGGUCCUGGCGGUCCUGACACUACAGAACUAGUUAUCCAAUCACAAUGGAUAGCAUGUGAAACGUUCUUUUGGGUUGAUGGGAGGUGGGGGACAGAACUUGGUCUGUAAAAUUAGGAGGAAAAGGGGAAGGAAAAAUCCUCUUGGCUGAGCACAGGUCUCUGGGUUUUCUGUCCUGCUUUAUUCUAAAAAGCACCCUCCGCCUUCUCAUUAAUAGAGAAGUGAAAGCUUCUGCAUUUCCUGCUGCUGCAUCAGAGAAGGUUUCACAUCUCCUUUGGCUGCCCGAGCAGAGACUAGACAUGGCCUCAGCUUGCUGGUGGGCGGCCACCCCGGUGCAGGCAGGCACGGGACCUCACCACCAGCAAUUCUGUGCAGGCGCGGUUUUCGUAGACGGUGAAAAGGAUCACAAGCCCUGGCUCCUGCAGGUCAGGUUCGCCGCCUACCUGGUGGGAGGGCGGGGCGGGGAAGAGCAUCCGGGGGAAGUGCGAGUACCAGUGGGGAAGAGUUUACACAGUAUUGAAACUGUCAAAAGAGAAAGUGCGGAGAGACCCUGGUUCUGAGAACAGAAGGAAUUCUGAGAACAGGGAAGCAAAGACUUGGAUGGUGGAGUGACUUUUCCCUUUAUCUUUCUCUCAGUGGAGGCCACCACUGGCUGCCUUUAUGUGGGUCACCUCCAGCCCCAGAAUGUAGUGAAUGUGUGGGUUUGCUCAUUUGCAUUCACGUGUGUGCGCGCGUGUCUGUGUGUGAAUCUUCGGAGCUCUUUUCAAAAUUGUAAAAUGGGGACGCUCAACAGAUCUUUUAAGGUUAUAUGAGAUAGCAUGGAAAGGGCCUACCUAGUGCAGUAUCAGUUCCAGAGCAGAAGCUCAACAAAUUUUGGACUCACUGCCUCCAUCUUCUGCCCGUUCCAGCUCUCCUGAUGGCUCAUAUUAGAGGAUGUAGAGUGUAGAAACAUCUUAUAAUGAAGAGGAGGUUUCAGAGCCGGGGUUGCUGGGAAGCACAACUUCAGUUAAUCUCAAUUAUUACCCAAGUCUUUUGCUUCUGAUAGUCAUUCUUCUAUUCAUUUUUGGUACAUACUUCUUUUUUCUUCCUAAGUAUCGAUUUUCUUGAGGUUGGGGACUUUGGGGGAGGACAGGUAAGUGUGGUGUCAAGGGGCUCUCUCUUAGUCCUCUCUCAUUUAGCUCACUACUAAAUCAAAUCUGAAGGUUGCAGAAACUGAGGUGGGGAGACGCAGCCCCGAAGCCACUGGGGAAGAGAGAGAAGACAAUUUCAGGUUUUAAAUUUGUGAGGGAAGAAGCCAUCACAGUUGUACAGUUCACAAUGGGAUAGGAGGAUGAAUUGCCAUUUAAAAUCUGCCUUUUCCAGGGGAAGUAAAGGAGGGAAACUUUAUCUUUUUUUUUCUAGUGGCUUCAUAAUGCAGGGACCUGCUUCAGAACAGAUAGGACUAGUGGGAGAAACGCAUAGGAGAGUGUUGAGUUUGGGCAAGGCAGGAGAGCUUUGAGAAUUGGUCCAUUCCCAGCUAUCUAUCAGGGGUUCACGUGGAGUUGUCCUGUGGUCUGCCCUGAGAUGGCUCAGACUGGUUGAAGGUAGGAUUUCUUGGCUUCAAAAAAGCAGGAAGGACAAAAUGCAGAUCUGCAAGAAGCAAUGGAAUCUCAGGGAAGGACUUUCCAGUCUCCGUCUCUGACCUCUAAAGUGCAAUUGUUUCCCCUAUUCCCCAGUGGCGCUUUGAGGCCAGAUAACCCUGCACUCUCCCUGGGCCUUCUUCCAUCUCAACAGCCCUGUCUCUGCCAUCUGCUCCAGAAGGGCCUUACAGCUCCUGCCUCCAUCUCCCAUCUCCGGGUGACAGGGCAGACCAAGGGUUAUGCAAUAUCUUUCUAAGUUACUCCCUCUAAGGGACAGAGAAGUUACCUAGUCUCUGUCUUUUGGAAGGAUACUGAAGGGAAACAGUUAAACCGGUGGGCAGCCCAGGCUACGUAUAUUCUGGGAGUAUUGGGAUUAUUCUCUCCACUGAUCUAAGGAAAUCCAUCUACAGACUGGUCUUUCCCACAGGGAAAGAUUUAGGAGACGGAGUCCUUUAAAGCCUAGGGCAGGAUAAGAUUUACCUGGUAACUGGUGAUGCUAGGCUGAAGCACUCAGUGAUUUGUCUCAUAUUUGUCCCCGCCCAUCUAACCCAUCUGACAACUCUUAGUUUGGGACUGAUUUAGAAGAGCUGGUAGGAACAGAAUUAGUAUCUAGGGACUGGGUGGCUCCAAAUCACUCAUUUAUGGGGGAUCAAGGAGUCGGGGCUAUAUUCUAGUCCGCUCAGGGUCUGGAGAUCAUCUACCCAGGCUGGAACUACUGGAGCAGGUGAGGACCCAGGGCCCUGGAA
Mustela erminea (ermine) is the source of this 3989-nucleotide RNA transcript. It is a transcript of the gene named HLA class II histocompatibility antigen, DM alpha chain, with no coding region annotated. The record is from RefSeq and is a predicted model, not a curated record. The transcript is spliced from 7 exons. NCBI's taxonomy places the organism in Eukaryota, Metazoa, Chordata, Mammalia, Carnivora, Mustelidae.